AGCUCCAAUAGCGUAUAUUAAAGUUGUUGCAGUUAAAAAGCUCGUAGUUGAACUUUGGGUCUGCUUGGCCGGUCCGAUUUUUUCGUGUACUGGAUUUCCAAGCGGACCUUUCCUUCUGGCUAACCUUGAGUCCUUGUGGCUCUUGGCGAACCAGGAUUUUUACUUUGAAAAAAUUAGAGUGUUCAAAGCAGGCGUAUUGCUCGAAUAUAUUAGCACGGAAUAAUAGAAUAGGACGUUUGGUUCUAUUUUGUUGGUUUCUAGGACCAUCGUAAUGAUUAAUAGGGACGGUCGGGGGCAUCAGUAUUCAAUUGUCAGAGGU
RNAcentral lists this ribosomal RNA (319 nucleotides) under uncultured eukaryote. Its description in RNAcentral is "partial small subunit ribosomal RNA". It matches the Rfam family "Eukaryotic small subunit ribosomal RNA", at positions 587 to 912 of the family's 1831-position model. The record is from RNAcentral.